RNAcentral lists this ribosomal RNA (465 nucleotides) under Vreelandella stevensii. RNAcentral's name for it is "partial 16S ribosomal RNA". It matches the Rfam family "Bacterial small subunit ribosomal RNA", at positions 338 to 795 of the family's 1533-position model. The record is from RNAcentral. Lineage: Bacteria; Pseudomonadati; Pseudomonadota; Gammaproteobacteria; Oceanospirillales; Halomonadaceae.
CCUACGGGCGGCAGCAGUGGGGAAUAUUGGACAAUGGGGGGAACCCUGAUCCAGCCAUGCCGCGUGUGUGAAGAAGGCCCUCGGGUUGUAAAGCACUUUCAGUGAGGAAGAACGCCUGGUGGUUAAUACCCAUCAGGAAAGACAUCACUCACAGAAGAAGCACCGGCUAACUCCGUACCAGCAGCCGCGGUAAUACGGAGGGUGCGAGCGUUAAUCGGAAUUACUGGGCGUAAAGCGCGCGUAGGUGGCUUGAUAAGCCGGUUGUGAAAGCCCCGGGCUCAACCUGGGAACGGCAUCCGGAACUGUCAAGCUAGAGUGCAGGAGAGGAAGGUAGAAUUCCCGGUGUAGCGGUGAAAUGCGUAGAGAUCGGGAGGAAUACCAGUGGCGAAGGCGGCCUUCUGGACUGACACUGACACUGAGGUGCGAAAGCGUGGGUAGCAAACAGGAUUAGAUACCCCAGUAGUC